RNAcentral lists this ribosomal RNA (468 nucleotides) under uncultured bacterium. RNAcentral's name for it is "partial 16S ribosomal RNA". It matches the Rfam family "Bacterial small subunit ribosomal RNA", at positions 28 to 507 of the family's 1533-position model. The record is from RNAcentral.
GACGAACGCUGGCGGCGUGCUUAACACAUGCAAGUCGAACGGAAAGGCCCUGCUUUUGUGGGGUGCUCGAGUGGCGAACGGGUGAGUAACACGUGAGUAACCUGCCCUUGACUUUGGGAUAACUUCAGGAAACUGGGGCUAAUACCGGAUAGGAGCUCCUGCUGCAUGGUGGGGGUUGGAAAGUUUCGGCGGUUGGGGAUGGACUCGCGGCUUAUCAGCUUGUUGGUGGGGUAGUGGCUUACCAAGGCUUUGACGGGUAGCCGGCCUGAGAGGGUGACCGGCCACAUUGGGACUGAGAUACGGCCCAGACUCCUACGGGAGGCAGCAGUGGGGAAUAUUGCACAAUGGGCGGAAGCCUGAUGCAGCAACGCAGCGUGCGGGAUGACGGCCUUCGGGUUGUAAACAGAAUUAGCAUGUGACGAAGAGUGAGUGACGGUAAUGGGUAAAGAAGCACCGGCUAACUACGUG